RNAcentral lists this transfer RNA (85 nucleotides) under Rhodopirellula baltica. RNAcentral describes it as "tRNA-Tyr". It matches the Rfam family "tRNA". Rfam says of the family: Transfer RNA (tRNA) molecules are approximately 80 nucleotides in length. Their secondary structure includes four short double-helical elements and three loops (D, anti-codon, and T loops). Further hydrogen bonds mediate the characteristic L-shaped molecular structure. tRNAs have two regions of fundamental functional importance: the anti-codon, which is responsible for specific mRNA codon recognition, and the 3' end, to which the tRNAs corresponding amino acid is attached (by aminoacyl-tRNA synthetases). tRNAs cope with the degeneracy of the genetic code in two manners: having more than one tRNA (with a specific anti-codon) for a particular amino acid; and 'wobble' base-pairing, i.e. permitting non-standard base-pairing at the 3rd anti-codon position. RNAcentral also lists the same sequence under 1 other name. Lineage: Bacteria; Pseudomonadati; Planctomycetota; Planctomycetia; Pirellulales; Pirellulaceae. The record is from RNAcentral.
GGGGGUUUGCCCGAGUGGUUAAAGGGGGCGGACUGUAAAUCCGCUGACUAUGUCUACACUGGUUCGAAUCCAGUAGCCCCCACUA